GACGAACGCUGGCGGCGUGCCUAAUACAUGCAAGUAGAACGCUGAAGGAGGAGCUUGCUUCUCUGGAUGAGUUGCGAACGGGUGAGUAACGCGUAGGUAACCUGCCUGGUAGCGGGGGAUAACUACUGGAAACGAUAGCUAAUACCGCAUAAUAGUAGAUGUUGCAUGACAUUUGCUUAAAAGGUGCAAUUGCAUCACUACCAGAUGGACCUGCGUUGUAUUAGCUAGUUGGUGAGGUAACGGCUCACCAAGGCGACGAUACAUAGCCGACCUGAGAGGGUGAUCGGCCACACUGGGACUGAGACACGGCCCAGACUCCUACGGGAGGCAGCAGUAGGGAAUCUUCGGCAAUGGACGGAAGUCUGACCGAGCAACGCCGCGUGAGUGAAGAAGGUUUUCGGAUCGUAAAGCUCUGUUGUAAGAGAAGAACGAGUGUGAGAGUGGAAAGUUCACACUGUGACGGUAUCUUACCAGAAAGGGACGGCUAACUACGUG
RNAcentral lists this ribosomal RNA (495 nucleotides) under uncultured bacterium. Its description in RNAcentral is "partial 16S ribosomal RNA". It matches the Rfam family "Bacterial small subunit ribosomal RNA", at positions 28 to 507 of the family's 1533-position model. The record is from RNAcentral.